GGGGAGAAUCUGUUCACUUGCCUUUCCCAGCUUCUAGAGGUUGCCUACAUUCCUUGGCUUGCGGACCCUUCCUCCAUCUCCAGAAUCAGUAACGAAAGAUCCAAAGCCAUAUCCUGGCUGAGUUGGCUGAGUUGAGCAGGACACUGACAAGGAGGCUGCUGAGCCUGCAACUCGACUGUUCUGUUUGAGGAGCUCUGUGCUUUAUCAUAGAAAUGGAUCUGAGGUGGGGUGUUGCUUUGUCUUGUGAUCGCAGCUCACGGCAGCCUUGGACUCGUGGGCACGAGCAAUCCUCCCACUUCAGCCUCCCAAGUAGCUGGGACCACAGG
This 326-nucleotide long non-coding RNA is filed under the name Homo sapiens (human). RNAcentral describes it as "non-protein coding lnc-CMC2-1:8". The record is from RNAcentral. Lineage: Eukaryota; Metazoa; Chordata; Mammalia; Primates; Hominidae.